GAGUUUGAUCUUGGCUCAGGAUGAACGCUGGCGGCGUGCCUAACACAUGCAAGUCGAGCGAUGAAAUUGGUGCUUGCACUAAUGGAAUAGCGGCGGACGGGUGAGUAACGCGUGGGUAACCUGGCCUAUACAGGGGGCUAGCAACGGGAAACUGUUGGUAAUACCGCGUAAGCUUAAUGUGUCGCAUGACACAAUAAGGAAAGAUUUAUCGGUAUAGGAUGGGCACGCGACUGAUUAGCUAGUUGGUAGGGUAAAGGCCUACCAAGGCAACGAUCAGUAGCCGAUCUGAGAGGAUGACCGGCCACAUUGGGACUGAGACACGGCCCAAACUCCUACGGGAGGCAGCAGUGGGGAAUAUUGCACAAUGGAGGGAACUCUGAUGCAGCAACGCCGCGUGAAGGAAGAAGGUUUUCGGAUCGUAAACUUCUAUCGACAGGGAAGAAAAGAAUGACGGUACCUGAAUAAGAAGCCCCGGCUAACUACGUGCCAGCAGCCGCGGUAAAAC
This 505-nucleotide ribosomal RNA is filed under the name Clostridium sp. Its description in RNAcentral is "bacterial SSU rRNA". It matches the Rfam family "Bacterial small subunit ribosomal RNA", at positions 9 to 526 of the family's 1533-position model. The record is from RNAcentral. Lineage: Bacteria; Bacillati; Bacillota; Clostridia; Eubacteriales; Clostridiaceae.